Molecule: ribosomal RNA, 209 nt
Filed under: uncultured bacterium
Lineage: Bacteria
Description: partial 16S ribosomal RNA
Rfam family: Bacterial small subunit ribosomal RNA
Source: RNAcentral
UACAGAGGUCUCAAGCGUUGUUCGGAUUCAUUGGGCGUAAAGGGAGCGUAGGUGGCGAGGUUAGUCAGGUGUGAAAUCUCGGGGCUCAACCCCGGAAACUGCACUUGAUACUGCCUUGCUAGAGUACUGGAGAGGAGAUUGGGAAUUUACGGUGUAGCAGUGAAAUGCGUAGAUAUCGUAAGGAAGACCAGUGGCGAAGGCGAAUCUCU